Molecule: ribosomal RNA, 215 nt
Filed under: Campeiostachys nutans
Lineage: Eukaryota; Viridiplantae; Streptophyta; Magnoliopsida; Poales; Poaceae
Description: Elymus nutans partial small subunit ribosomal RNA
Rfam family: Eukaryotic small subunit ribosomal RNA (bases 37-215)
Source: RNAcentral
GGACUAUCAUGUCGGUCGUGCCUCGGUACGUACUGGUAUUGUUGGUUUCUCCCUUCUGACGAACCAUGAUGUCAUUAAUUUGGUGUUAUGGGAAAUCAGGACUGUUACUUUGAAAAAAUUAGAGUGUUUAAGGCAGGCUUACGCUUGAAUACAUUAGCAUGGAAUAAUGAAAUAGGACGUUUGAUCCUAUUUUGUUGGUUUCUAGGAUCGACGUA